Molecule: ribosomal RNA, 254 nt
Filed under: uncultured bacterium
Lineage: Bacteria
Description: partial 16S ribosomal RNA
Rfam family: Bacterial small subunit ribosomal RNA
Source: RNAcentral
UACGUAGGCAGCGAGCGUUGUUCGGAGUUACUGGGCGUAAAGGGUGUGUAGGCGGUUGUUUAAGUGUGGUGUGAAAUCUCCCGGCUCAACUGGGAGGGUGCGCCGAAUACUGAAUGACUUGGAGUGCGGGAGAGGUGAGUGGAAUUCCUGGUGUAGCGGUGAAAUGCGUAGAUAUCAGGAGGAACACCGGUGGUGUAGACGGCUCACUGGACCGUAACUGACGCUGAGACACGAAAGCGUGGGUAGCAAACAGG